GGAAGAAGAGCAGAGAGACCAGGCCACUAAAAGGGGACAUUUGGAGUUCUCUGCAACUCUGCUCUGGAGGCUGCAAGGCCAGCUUGGGCCACCAGGUCUGAGGAUACCCACAGUUUAGCUUUCAUCCGGGACCAAAAUGGCUGAAGCUGACCACAGAUCACCAUGGAGACCAGAACAGACCAAAGCCCACAACAAACUGGUUAUGGCCUGAUCAGGCCACUGCCUCCCAAGCAGACCUGUCUCCUUGUUUUCUGGGUUUAGUUCCCUUUGGGUCUCUAGUGUCCAGUAAUGUUUCCCCAAAGUUCCCUCAGCUUCAGCUCAUCAAAGCAAAGAAUAAUGGUGUCCCGGGUCACUGAUGUUGACAAGGGGACACAGAACGAACUAGGCUUACAAGUUCCGUGAGCCCAGUCUGCCUGCGAAUGUUCUUCUGGGCUCUGUUUUUAUUAGGGGUGAGGUUAGUCUACUUCCCAUCUCCAGCUCUUUCACGCCUCAGUGAUACAAGGGCCACCCGGAACAUUCAGCUCAAGGAAACAGUUCCCCAGGAUCUGGACGUGGCCGCCACCUCCCGCAAGAAUGGCAGGAUUCGUGUGUCGUCUUUUCUCAAAUAAAAUGAUUUAACUG
This is a long non-coding RNA of Mastomys coucha (southern multimammate mouse), 621 nucleotides long. RefSeq lists it as uncharacterized. The transcript has 2 exons. The record is from RefSeq and is a predicted model, not a curated record. NCBI's taxonomy places the organism in Eukaryota, Metazoa, Chordata, Mammalia, Rodentia, Muridae.